UUUCAAAGACGAGCUCUGGAA
RNAcentral lists this microRNA (21 nucleotides) under Marchantia polymorpha subsp. ruderalis. The record is from RNAcentral. Lineage: Eukaryota; Viridiplantae; Streptophyta; Marchantiopsida; Marchantiales; Marchantiaceae.